GUGCCAGCAGCCGCGGUAAUACCGGCAGCACGAGUGAUGGCCGAUAUUAUUGGGCCUAAAGCGUCCGUAGCCGGCCGUGCAAGUCCGUUGGGAAAUCCACGCGCUCAACGCGUGGGCGUCCAGCGGAAACUGUUCGGCUUGGGGCCGGAGGACUCGAGGGGUACGUCCGGGUAGGAGUGAAAUCCCGUAAUCCUGGACGGACCACCGAUGGCGAAAGCACUUCGAGAAAACGGAUCCGACAGUGAGGGACGAAAGCCAGGGUCUCCAACCGGAUUAGAAACCCCGGUAGUCC
This 292-nucleotide ribosomal RNA is filed under the name uncultured bacterium. RNAcentral describes it as "partial 16S ribosomal RNA". It matches the Rfam family "Archaeal small subunit ribosomal RNA", at positions 455 to 747 of the family's 1478-position model. The record is from RNAcentral.